This 478-nucleotide ribosomal RNA is filed under the name uncultured bacterium. Its description in RNAcentral is "partial 16S ribosomal RNA". It matches the Rfam family "Bacterial small subunit ribosomal RNA", at positions 28 to 523 of the family's 1533-position model. The record is from RNAcentral.
GACGAACGCUGGCGGCGUGCUUAACACAUGCAAGUCGAACGGUAAGGCCCUUCGGGGUACACGAGUGGCGAACGGGUGAGUAACACGUGGGUGAUCUGCCCUGCACUUCGGGAUAAGCCUGGGAAACUGGGUCUAAUACCGGAUAGGACCACUGCCUGCAUGGGUGGUGGUGGAAAGCUUUUGCGGUGUGGGAUGGGCCCGCGGCCUAUCAGCUUGUUGGUGGGGUAAUGGCCUACCAAGGCGACGACGGGUAGCCGGCCUGGGAGGGUGACCGGCCACUCUGGGACUGAGAUACGGCCCAGACGCCUACGGGAGGCAGCAGUGGGGAAUAUUGCACAAUGGGCGCAAGCCUGAUGCAGCGACGCCGCGUGAGGGAUGACGGCCUUCGGGUUGUAAACCUCUUUCAGUAGGGACGAAGCGCAAGUGACGGUACCUACAGAAGAAGGACCGGCCAACUACGUGCCAGCCGCCGCUGUAA